UUGGAGGGCAAGUCUGGUGCCAGCAGCCGCGGUAAUUCCAGCUCCAAUAGCGUAUAUUAAAGUUGUUGCAGUUAAAAAGCUCGUAGUUGAACUUCGGGAUUUGCCCAUUGGUCAGGCUUAACUGUCUGCACUGGUGAGACGAAUUCCUACCUUCUGAGGAAUCUCCGUGCCAUUCAGUUGGUGUGGGGGGGAAUCAGGACUGUUACUUUGAAAAAAUUAGAGUGUUUAAAGCAGGCAUCCGUCUGAAUACAUUAGCAUGGAAUAAUAAAAUAGGACGGUUUGGUUCUAUUUUGUUGGUUUCUAGGAUCACCGUAAUGAUUAAUAGGGAUAGUUGGGGGCAUUAGUAUUCAAUUGUCAGAGGUGAAAUUCUUGGAUUUAUUGAAGACUAACUACUGCGAAAGCAUUUGCCAAGGAUGUUUUCAUUAAUCAAGAACGAAAGUUAGGGGAUCGAAGACGAUCAGAUACCGUCGUAGUCUUAACCAUAAACUAUGCCGACUAGGGAUCGGACGAAGUUAAUUUUUAAAUGACUCGUUCGGCACCUUACGGGAAAC
Molecule: ribosomal RNA, 551 nt
Filed under: uncultured Diversisporaceae
Lineage: Eukaryota; Fungi; Glomeromycota; Glomeromycetes; Diversisporales
Description: SSU rRNA
Rfam family: Eukaryotic small subunit ribosomal RNA
Source: RNAcentral